CCCGUGGGCCUCGGCAGCGCCUGCGGGAGCGCGCCGGGGGGGCUCGGGUGCUGUGGUGGCGGGGAGGCGCGGGAAGGGAAGAUGGCGACACGUGUGUUGAAAGCUGCCUCUAACCGGCCUGGCGCUUUUUGUGCUGCGAUUGCAUACCUCGCUCCCGGUUCUAAGUGCCGCCUCGCCGCGCUGCCUGCCCGGGCGGUGUCCCAGGACGCGUGCCUUGCGCCCUGCCUUUCCUAUGUGAGCCUGAACGAGUAGCCCGGGCCUCCCCAGCUGCGACGUACCCUGGGGGCUGUCGGGGCGCAGUCGAAAGCGGGCGGAGGGUCUGUCUCACAUUUAGCGUGAGCAGUUUCGGUUCCGUGAAGCAGGUAGGCGCGUGUUUGCCUAGGCACAGGACUGUCGUGGGCCAAGCGCCUUCCACCGGUCUGCCUUUGCUUUGGGAGCCUGCCUUUCCAUCCAUUGCCUUCAGGGCGGAGGGAGUGAAGGAGUAGCAAAGCAAAAUAUAUGGUUACUCCAGUACGCCCUGUAUGUAUGAAGGAUUUUGUCAAGUGUUACCUACUUCUUUAUGUCAAGAGAAGGUCAGAAAUGUCUUUCAGCCCAGCUGUUCUCAGUAGCUCCAGAGCGCGCUGUGUUGCUGCAAGUUUCUGAGAGGGAAAGGUUUGUGACCCAGCUGGCACUUGUCCACCCCAUUCUUAGGUUACUUGACAUCCAUCUCAUUUUAAAAUAUGCUGAGGAAUAAUGUAAUUGCCCACCAGGAAGCAAGGAUUACAUUUUAAGGGCUGCUGUUAUGUAUCUGUCAGACAUUAAUAUUCAUUACUGCUAGAUGUUUUUUAGUACCAAGGCAGUCCUUGAGCUGCGGAACCCCAGAGUGAUUUACAUAGGCAUCAGUUAUGCAAUCUCUUUCUGAGGGCGCUGAAGUACAAUGAAAAAAAGUAUUCGGUUGGAGUUCUGUGCUGGUUUAAAAUGCACUACUGAAAUGGCUAACAGAACAAACUCCUCUGAGUAUUUUUGGUCGUAUGAAUAUUAUUGGGAUUAUAUAGAUCCAAUUCCAGUAGAUGGAAGCAAGUUGAAGGUUAAUAAAUUGCAAGAAACUGUCUUUCUAAUAGUGAAGAUUGAACUGGACAAUGCUAGGAGCUUCGUGUCCUUCGCUUGCCUUGUGAGAGCAGGAAUAAGAAAAGGGAGCAGAAACUCUUAUUCUGCGCUGCCUCUAGAAAAGCUUUUCUGUCCACUCUGAUGAGCCUAGGGCUUAUUGCCUCCAAACUUAGAGCAUCAUGCCUUAAAGAAGAUUCUAUUGUCAUAGCCUUUUGGGUUGGACUUGCUGCGUUUGUGAUGUUUCUUUUCCUUAUUUUACUGUAUAUGUCCCGCUCUGGAUCAACUCCAGUAAAAUCACUGAUGAAAAUGCUGAACAGGAUCGGGUGCUUAUGGAGCCCUGCUGGAAACAGACACAGUCAGAGAUCUUUCUCCAGUUACUUUUUCAGAAGCCUAACUCACAUAACACCUGUUUAAUGGGACUUGUGUAUAGUUCUUUUUAAAGAAGGCAGUAUGGAAAACUAAGUCAAAUGCCUUAUUGCAGUUUAAAUAGCUACAUAUACGCAGCUACCUUUAUCCUCAAAUUGUGUUCCCCUCAAAAAACAACAUCAGACACUUUUCACCAUACCUGUCUUUCUAUAAAGCCAUACUGUCUGGAAUUAGUUUCUCUGUCCUUUGAAAUACUUUUUCACUUGUAUCUUAUCUUAGCUUUAAUUCCAUGAUUUUGCCUGGGGCUGAGGUCAGUUGCACUGCCUUAUAGUGUCCUGGCUUGACCAGUUCGCUCUCUUUGAGUACUGGGACAUUAUGGCUCUUCCAGCUGCCUCAAACUUCCCUGCUGUUACAGGGAUGGUUAACGAUUAACAAGAGCCAGCCAGAGUUCUCCUCAGACAGUCUCCAGGUCUCUGGGAUGCAAGUUCUCCAGCUGAUUUUAAAAUACGGAUAGCUAGCUGAUGGUAUUUAGCUACUUAAUGGACUGGAAAGAAAACAUCCUGUUUUGACAAGUGAUUGUAGGGAACCAGAUAGAAGAAAGCAGUUCCAACGGUAAACAGCCUCACUGUGAUGAUCUCAGUAGUCCAUACUCAGAUGUGGUUGCUUCUCAAACACCUACCUCCCUUUCAGAUGAAACUGGCAUUCAUGAAAGGAUUUGAGCCUGGGUUAAAACUGGAACAGGUUAAACAAAACCAGCAGUACAGUUCUCCUGACUGCAGAGAAAAGCUCAGUGCUGUGACUGCCUAUUAAACACUGAUACCAAAACCCUUCAGGAGAAGAAGAAAAAGAAAAAUGUCUUUCAACAAAGGACAAACCUGAAAAAUCCUGGAUGCAUAAGAGGAAGUCUUAAUGGCCAUAUUUGAGCAACGGUGCUGGAGUUGCCUGAUCAACAUUUUAGAUCAACAUUUUGGAUCCUGAUGAUGAUGACUGUAAAAUUUCUCUCUUCUUUAAGUAAGGAUUCAGAUUCGAACUUCUCUCCCAGUUACAUGGUGCAAAGGGUGUGCUGCUGGUUGAGUGGUUCUCAUUAAGACCCAUUUGGUGGAGAGCAGAUUUACUCCUCCAGCAGAAAGUCUAUACCAGUUUCACCCCAAGUCCUGUAAAGAGUUCUGCCUUGGUCACCUGAAUGCCCACUGAGUCCUGUUAUCCUUGGGGGUGUCUCUGCAGCAUCACUUUUCACUGGGUUGUCUUGCUGUGAAAGAAAGCAGAAUCCCGUUGAUCUUACUGAACAGGCAGCAUAACCAAUAUUGUUUAUAUAUCAUGAGAGCCAUAAGUCAUCUGCUUCUGUCUCUGUCCUCAGGUCACACUCAUCAGCUGCAUCUUAGUAACACCUCCAUUCGGACAUCCUCUGAAAAAUGAGCAACAAUGUCAAGUGCAACAUCAACAAUAAAACUUGGAUUUUA
This is an RNA transcript of Aquila chrysaetos chrysaetos, 2912 nucleotides long. It is a transcript of the gene named melanocortin 2 receptor accessory protein, with no coding region annotated. The record is from RefSeq and is a predicted model, not a curated record. The transcript is spliced from 5 exons. Lineage: Eukaryota; Metazoa; Chordata; Aves; Accipitriformes; Accipitridae.